AGAACGAACGCUGGCGGCAUGCCUAACACAUGCAAGUCGAACGAGACCUUCGGGUCUAGUGGCGCACGGGUGCGUAACGCGUGGGAAUCUGCCCUUGGGUUCGGAAUAACAGCGAGAAAUUGCUGCUAAUACCGGAUGAUGACGUAAGUCCAAAGAUUUAUCCGCCCAAGGAUGAGCCCGCGUAGGAUUAGCUUGUUGGUGAGGUAAGAGCUCACCAAGGCGACGAUCCUUAGCUGGUCUGAGAGGAUGAUCAGCCACGACUGGGACUGAGACCACCGGCCCAGACCUCCGUACGGGAGCAGCGAGGUAGGGAAUAGUUGGACAGUGGGACGAAAGCCUGACUACCAGACAAGUCGCCG
This 359-nucleotide ribosomal RNA is filed under the name uncultured soil bacterium. RNAcentral's name for it is "bacterial SSU rRNA". It matches the Rfam family "Bacterial small subunit ribosomal RNA", at positions 26 to 399 of the family's 1533-position model. The record is from RNAcentral.